Molecule: ribosomal RNA, 368 nt
Filed under: uncultured organism
Description: bacterial SSU rRNA
Rfam family: Bacterial small subunit ribosomal RNA
Source: RNAcentral
CGUAGGUGGCAAGCGUUGUCCGGAUUUAUUGGGUUUAAAGGGUGCGUAGGCGGUCUUAUAAGUCAGUGCUGAAAUAUCCCGGCUUAACCGGGAGGGUGGCAUUGAUACUGUAGGACUUGAGUAAAGUUGAGGUUGGCGGAAUUGACGGUGUAGCGGUGAAAUGCUUAGAUAUCGUCAAGAACACCGAUAGUGUAGACAGCUUACUAAGCUUUAACUGACGCUGAGGCACGAAAGUGUGGGGAUCAAACAGGAUUAGAUACCCUGGUAGUCCACACUGUAAACGUUGAAGACUCGCUGUUGGCGAUACACAGUCAGCGGCUGAGAGAAAUCGUUAAGUCUUCCACCUGGGGAGUACGCCGGCAACGGUG